AUUACCGCGGCUGCUGGCACGUAGUUGGCCGCACCUUCUUCUGCAGGUACCGUCAGAUUCGUCCCUGCUGAAAGCGGUUUACAACCCUAAGGCCUUCUUCCCGCACGCGGCGUUGCUGCAUCAGGCUUUCGCCCAUUGCGCAAAUAUUCCCCACUGCUGCCUCCCGUAGG
This 170-nucleotide ribosomal RNA is filed under the name uncultured bacterium. RNAcentral's name for it is "partial 16S ribosomal RNA". The record is from RNAcentral.